Long non-coding RNA from Asparagus officinalis (garden asparagus), 1342 nucleotides. RefSeq lists it as uncharacterized. NCBI's taxonomy places the organism in Eukaryota, Viridiplantae, Streptophyta, Magnoliopsida, Asparagales, Asparagaceae. The transcript has 5 exons. The record is from RefSeq and is a predicted model, not a curated record.
AUUGUAAUAGAUUAUAUUUCUGUUGAAGUGAAUUCAGAUAUCACCUUUCGGUAAAAAUUGUGUAAACUUCUUAGAGAAAUCUAUGUGGAAGUCCCAACUAUGCUGCUCCGGAGGUUAUCUCAGGUAAACUAUAUGCUGAUCCAGAGGUUGAUGUAUGGAGUUGUGGUGUCAUUCUUUAUGCUCUUCUCUGUAACACACUUCCCUUUGAUGAUGAAAACAUCCCUAAUCUGUUUCAUAAAAUAAAGGGUGGGAUAUAUACUCUUCCAAGCCAUUUAUCUGCUCUAGCAAGGGAUUUGAUACCUAGGAUGUUUGUUGUUGACCCUAUGAAGCGAAUGACUCUUCGUGAAAUCUGUGAACAUCCAUGGUUUCAAGCUCGUCUUCUUCGCUAUCUGGUUGUGCCACCACCAGAUACAAUGCAACAAGCUAAGAAGAUAAAUUGUUCUCAAGCUGUUGGCCCAAGUGAUAUUUUGUUGUUUAUAUUACAUAGUUUCUGGCAAAUGUUAGCAUUGAUCUUCAUUAGGGUAAACGACACAUAUUGGUAUUAGAAAACUGAUCAUGGAUAAAAUUUUACAUAUAUGAAAUUUUUGUGUAGGCAGCACAGAGCUCUAACAUCACUUCUUUUCAAUAUUACUUUCAGCACCUAUUCUUUCAUUUUCUGUUCAUGACCAGCAGAAUAGAAAAUUGAGAUCAUUAAGUUACACAUUUAAAUGCUCUUCACUUACACUUAAGUGAUUGAGAUUAUCAAAUCAGAUAUGUUCAAAUCCCUUGCAAUAUGAUUUCUUUUUUACUUCUGUAGUGCUAUGCUGCUAAAUUGUCAUGUGCCUGACUUUAUGGUCCUGGCGCUUUGCUCUUCUUUGCAGAUUGAUGAGGAAAUUCUUCAGGAGGUAGUUAAAAUGGGGUUUGAGAAAAACCACUUAGUUGAAUCACUUCACAAUAGAAGACAAAAUGAGGGCACUGUUGCAUACUACUUUCUUUUGGACAAUAGAUUUCUCACAGCUACAGUACUGGCUAUCUUGGGGUAGAGUAUCAGGAAACCAUGGAAUCUGGUUUAUCUCGAAUGAGUUCAACAGAUACUCCAACGGCAGCAAUCAAACAUCGUAAGCCAGGAUAUAUGGACCAUCAGGUAAUGGGGAUGGGACUGCAUCCAGGUGAAAGGAAAUGAGCACUUGGACUUCAUGUAUUCUAUCUUUCAAUGGGCUCUAUUUAUCAGUGAAGAUCAAGGUUACAUAUUUUAUGAGUGUCAAAAUGUGUUAAUAAGAGAAAUUGUGUUAGCAAUCACAUUGUGAAUAGGUUUAUUGUGACACCAUUCAUCAGUAAUAUUUUUUACAUUGCUUUUGUUAAA